Molecule: ribosomal RNA, 460 nt
Filed under: uncultured bacterium
Lineage: Bacteria
Description: partial 16S ribosomal RNA
Rfam family: Bacterial small subunit ribosomal RNA
Source: RNAcentral
CCUACGGGGUGCAGCAGUGAGGAAUAUUGGUCAAUGGACGAGAGUCUGAACCAGCCAAGUAGCGUGAAGGAUGACUGCCCUAUGGGUUGUAAACUUCUUUUAUAUGGGAAUAAAAUGUUCCACGUGUGGGAUUUUGUAUGUACCAUAUGAAUAAGGAUCGGCUAACUCCGUGCCAGCAGCCGCGGUAAUACGGAGGAUCCGAGCGUUAUCCGGAUUUAUUGGGUUUAAAGGGAGCGUAGGUGGAUUGUUAAGUCAGUUGUGAAAGUUUGCGGCUCAACCGUAAAAUUGCAGUUGAAACUGGCAGUCUUGAGUACAGGAGAGGUGGGCGGAAUUCGUGGUGUAGCGGUGAAAUGCUUAGAUAUCACGAAGAACUCCGAUUGCGAAGGCAGUUCACUGGACUGCAACUGACACUGAGGCUCGAAAGUGUGGGUAUCAAACAGGAUUAGAUACCCGUGUAGUC